Molecule: long non-coding RNA, 1358 nt
Filed under: Physcomitrium patens
Lineage: Eukaryota; Viridiplantae; Streptophyta; Bryopsida; Funariales; Funariaceae
Description: long non-coding RNA (PPAT_LNC004402)
Source: RNAcentral
AAUUGGGAGGGAUGAAACCAAGGCAUGGUUGGAUGAAGGUAGAAAUAAGAAUCUUCAUCACCAUUGGUCGAAAUCCAUGCCCAAUGGGCUUUUAGGAGGCUGCCCGCGACCUUGAUAAGGGUUUCGGCGAUUUCAAAGAGGCCAUUAGGAAAUCAGAGGCAAGGGUUGUAAAUUUUAGGAUUUUGGCUACAGUUUUUGUGCAAAUUUUAUAGGUUUUGGAGUCAGAGUGAAUAAGUUAUAGCCGUUUAAAGUUAAGGUGUCAAUUUGAGACCUAUUGUUACUCAUUUGAGUUUAAGAGGAGUCUUACGGAAGCUUUUGGAGAUUGGAAGGUGCGGCUAGAAGAGCAACUUCAAGAACAUCUUUUGCGAAGGAAAUUUUACAUUUGGAGUUUAUGUAAAGGAGUUAUAGGGAGUUAAAGACAGCGCAUUCAAAUCAAAGGCAGUAAGUGAGCGGUUUUGUUCAAAGUAGUGUUAGGAGCCAUAACUUGAGUUUUCGAACGAAAUUUUGGCUCAAACUUUGAGAGAAUGUAAAAAUUUGUGUUAAGAAGCUAUCUAUAUAAGUUUCGUGGUAUUUGAACUUAUGGUUUGUGAGAUAUAAAGAAAAUUGCACGCGGGUAUAUAAAGAUUAGGGUUUGAAGCGACUGUUAGGGUUUUGAAGAUAUCUCAAGAUCCGCAACAAAUUUGCGGUUGAAAUUUGUUGUAAAAAUUAAUAACAACAUAUCAGUACUUCAUGUAAAUUUUGAUCUUGUUUGGACGGUUGGAUCAAGAGUUAUGAGGUGUUGAGAUUAGGGAGAAUUUCCACACAAGGAUAUACAAGGUUUUAGAGUACUUCUACCAUAUUUUGGAUGUUGUUGGUUAUUUAAAACUUAAGUAUUUGGUGUAAUUGUCCCAAAAGAAGAACUUAUAUAUGUAAAAUUAGGAUUUCUUUAUUUUAAGCUUGAUUGAGCAAUUAGUGACAGCCAGAAGCCCAGUGCUUUCUUGAGGCAAAACUUCUCUACCCCGACAACGCUAUUGUCACGUUCGAUGGCAUAGCUUACAAUGGAGUGACAUUAACUAGCCCUUGAAUAUUGGCACUAGAAUUGGCUCCUAUUUCUAACAUCCGUAGAUAACUAUCCAUUGAUCUGUUCCAAGUCAGAUUUUGAUAACUACCUUGAACUAGAAUCAUCGUAGCUCCCACAGUUAAAAACUAAUCAUAAUGGCAUUUCUCCCAAACCUUGAUUCUAUUAAGGGAUGCAGACACCGUCAUGGGUUGAGCUUCUUUCACAAACAUUUUUAAGUCUGGUGGGUGCAAACUAUUGAUUAAUAUGGAUAAGAUAAAUACCUUCGGUAUUUGGUGAUUUGGCCACUUACUGAGUAUAU